AUAAAUUUUUUAUAUUUUGGAAAUUUUAUUAUAAAUUUAUUUUACAUAUAAAUUUUAGUGUUAAAUUUUAAUUAUUUAAAUAAUAAUUAAUUAUUUAAGUAGUAAUUAAUAUUAAAAAUUUAAGAAAUUAAGAUUUAGUAAUAUAAAAAUUAAUAACUAAUUUUGUGCCAGCAGUUGCGGUUAUACAAAAAUUAAAUUAAAUUAUUUCAGUUUAUAAUAAAUAAUUUUAAUUUAAGGUAAAUAUUAAAUUAUUAAGUGAAAUUUUAAUUUAAUUAAAUUUUAUAUAUGAAUUAUGAUUUAAUAAAUUUUAAUAUAAACUAGGAUUAGAUACCCUAUUAUUAAAAAAUUAAUUUAUAAUACUAAAAUAGUAAGUAAUUAUUUAUUGAAACUUGAAUAAUAUGGCGGUAUUUUAGUUCAUUUAGAGGAAUCUGUUAAGUAAUUGAUAAUCCACGAAUAAAUUUACUUAAUUUUAUAUUUUGUAUAUCAUUGUUAAAAAAAUAUUUUCAAAUAAAGAUAAUAUUUUAAUUUUUAAAAAUAAAAUUAGUUCAGAUCAAGAUGCAGAUUAUAAUUAAGAUUAUAAUGGAUUACAUUAAAAAUAUUUAAAUGAAUAAUAUAAUGUAAAAUAUAUUUGAAGGUGGAUUUAAAUGUAAUUUUAAUUAAUUUAUUAAAAUGAUUAAAAAUUAAAAUAUGUACAUAUUGCCCGUCACUUUCAUUUAAAAAUUGGAAUAAGUCGUAACAAAGUAGAUGUACUGGAAAGUGUAUCUAGAAAGAA
RNAcentral lists this non-coding RNA (772 nucleotides) under Euripus nyctelius (courtesan). Lineage: Eukaryota; Metazoa; Arthropoda; Insecta; Lepidoptera; Nymphalidae. The record is from RNAcentral.